CCUAUCUGGUUGAUCCUGCCAGUAGUCAUAUGCUUGUCUCAAAGAUUAAGCCAUGCAUGUCUAAGUACGAGCGUGUUUACACACGGUGAGACCGCGGACGGCUCAUUAAAUCAGUCGUGGUCCAUAAGGGCUAGAGUUAUUCUUACUUGGAUAACUGUGGUAAUUCCAGAGCUAAUACAUGCAACUUAUAUCCUGAUGUUGCGCCUCUCACGGGGUUGCGCUGACGGAUGCUUUUAUUAGACCAAACCACUGAGUGCUUACGGGCACUUCUCGUGUAAUGGUGACUCUGGAUAACCAUUUUGACAAGCGCACGUACCCUCUUUGUAGGGACGGCGCUGCCACUUUCGAGUGUCUGCCUUAUCAGCUAUCAAUCGUUCGUUAUGUGCGCACGAUGGCUUUGACGGGUAACGGGGAAUCAGAGUUCGAUUCCGGAGAGGCAGCCUGAGAGACGGCUACCACGUCCAAGGACGGCAGCAGGCACGCAAAUUACCCAAUCCCAGCAUCUGGGGGAGGUAGUGACGAAAUAUAACAAUGUGGGCGCCCUCUCUGGGGCCCCGCAAUUGGAAUGGCCAUUUUCUAAACAACCUGUCGAGAACCUACUGAAGGGCAAGUCUGGUGCCAGCAGCCGCGGUAAUUCCAGCUUCAGUAGCAUCUAUUAAAGUUGCUGCGGUUAAAAGGCUCGCAGUUGAAUGUCAGUAUCGAGCGCAGGCAGGUGGACGCUGGAGUGUGAACACUCAUCACGGCGUAGGGCGACGCGCGCACACAGUUCCCCGCCUCACCGUCACCUUCGCUUAGGCGUUGUUGGCGGCGGCAGUGUGUCUUGUGUUUUGUGUUUAGCCUUGCGUUGUUCACAUACUCCCGUCCGUAUCACGCCUCCUCGCUUGUGUACAUAAUGGAAGUCGUAAUUGUAUAAGGAGUGGCGGUAUUAGUAACAGGUGCCAGUGGGGUUGCGGUUGCGCGUGUGCGUGUGGUUCACGCCGCAUGUACUCUAACCGUGCCGCUUCUCACACACACUCCUGUGAAAGCUACCGUCGCUAAGCUCCUAAAAGGUUUCCUUGUCACCCUGAGUAAAUCAGAGUGCUUAAAGCAGUCGUAGGGGCGUUUUGUGCCCUUUGAACAGUCUUAACGGAUUGACUUGGUUUUGCAUGGCAUGUCGUAAGACGACGUCUAGCGCUGGCUAAGAGAUAAUACAGAGGUGGUACAAGCCAGCCUAGACGUAAUGAUUAAAAGGGAUAGUCGAGGGCAUUGGUAUUGCGAGGCGAGAGGUGAAAUUCUAUGACCCCCGCAAGACCUCCUGAAGCGAAAGUGUCUGCCAAGGAUGUUUUCAUUAAUCAUGAACGAAAGUUAGAGGAUCGAAGGCGAUCAGAUACCGCCCUAGUUCUAACCCUAAACGAUGCCAACCAUCAAUCCGCGUGUAGCACCCUUUUUAACGGGCUCGGCGGGCAGCUCUUCACUCACGGGAAACCAGAGUCUCUGGGUUCCGGGGGGAGUCUGGUUGCAAAGCUGAAACUUAAAGGAAUUGACGGAAAGGCACCACCAGGCGUGGAGCUGCGGCUUAAUUUGACUCAACACGGGCCAUCUCACCAGGCCAGCACUCUAGAACGAUUGACAGAUUGAGAGCUCUUUCUUAAUUUUGUGGAUGGUGGUGCAUGGCCGUUCUUAGUUGGUGGAGUGAUCUGUCUGGUUAAUUCCGAUAACGAACGAGACUCUCCCCUGCUAACUAGUCGGUUGGAUCCUGUUUGCAGCGCACGGCGCCGCAAGGUUCGUCUGCGCUGUGACGUUACGAGUUGUGCCCUUAGUAACUCUGGGCAUGGUCUGGUAAUCGGGGUUUGUUUGACUGUGUGUGUGUUGGUGUGUGUGUGUGUGUGUUUCGCGUGUGCCCUCGUGGUGUGCGUGUCGCUCACACGCGCUUGCGCGCGCUGGUCUCUCUUUCUUUCUGUGCUCCUUACUGUGUCUCUAGAGCUCUGCUUGGAUCGUACGCUCAAAGUCCGCCGUCUCAUGAUGAUAUGAAAUUCUUCUUAGAGGUAUUCACGGUACUGAAACCGUAAGAGACUGAGAGCAAUAACAGGUCUGUGAUGCCCUUAGAUGUUCUGGGCCGCACGCGCGCUACAAUGCCGGGCUCAGCAGGUUCUUAUCCUACUCCGAGAGGAGCGGGUAACCCUGUGAAAGCCCUUGCGUGUGUUUCUUUGUAUUCGCUUCGCGCCUUCGCCCUUGGGUGUUGGUGCGUUGCGGUGUUUGGCGUGAUUGGGCCUGGGUCUUGCAAUUUUUUCCCACAAACGAGGAAUGCCUUGUAGCGGCGAGUCACUGAGCUCGCCGUGACUCAGUUCCUGCCCUUUGUACACACCGCCCGUCGCUACUACCGAUUGGGUGUACCAGUGAGAGCCUUGGACUGGCGUCUGUUCUCGCCUUUGGUAACACAUUGGCUCGAUGAACGGGUCUGACGGAAAGAGGUUCGAACUGGUGCACUUAGAGGAAGUAAAAGUCGUAACAAGGUUUCCGUAGUGAACCUGCGGAAGGAUCAUUA
This 2524-nucleotide ribosomal RNA is filed under the name Lepidepecreum umbo. RNAcentral's name for it is "18S ribosomal RNA". It matches the Rfam family "Eukaryotic small subunit ribosomal RNA". The record is from RNAcentral. Lineage: Eukaryota; Metazoa; Arthropoda; Malacostraca; Amphipoda; Lysianassidae.